Molecule: long non-coding RNA, 388 nt
Filed under: Homo sapiens (human)
Lineage: Eukaryota; Metazoa; Chordata; Mammalia; Primates; Hominidae
Description: non-protein coding lnc-RTL8C-4:2
Source: RNAcentral
GGCCUUAGGUCCCAAAACAGCCAUGCCAGUGAUAGAAUUUGAUGCAUACUAGAAUGGAUUUACUUGUAAGAGAAGGGGAGGAAGGGGGAGGUGGAGACAGACAGAGAGAGAGAGAAGAAAAUAAAUGUUGAGCAUACAAAUGAAUUUCAACAUUCACGUUCCAAAAACAUCACAUAGUCCGCGGAGAUAAAAAUACACAAAGAAUUAUGUAACAUAAGUUUGACACAUAUUAAAUUCCUGAAAUUCAACUGUGUGACAUAUAAAAAGGGCAGCUUCACAUGGUUCAACACAGUGCAAUAGUAAAAUAAGCAGACGUUGUUCAAUCUGAGGAAGCUGAUUGUCCCCCACUCCCCCAAAAAUAAAAGAAACAAGCAGAUGUUACACAAAG